UAAUAAUAAUAAUGUUUUAUUAUUACAUUUUGCGUACCUCAAACGGAAGGGACACGUGUCCAAAAUUCAUUCGAUAUGUCCCUAUUAAAUUUGCUCCAAUCCAUUCCCCCAACCCCAACUCUUCCUCUUUUUACUUCCCCUAUGGCUCGUCACUCCUUGCUCUUAGCCCUCCUCCUCUUCGCCGCCGUGGCCACCGCCGCGAUGGCGGUGGCCGCGUCCGACGCCGACGACAUCCUGAUCCGUCAGGUGGUGCCAGAUGUUGGCGAAGCCGAAGAGGAGGACAACCUGCUGAACGCCGAGCACCACUUCGCGAGCUUCAAGGCCAAGUUCGCCAAGACCUACGCCACCAAGGAGGAGCACGAUCAUCGCUUCGGCGUCUUCAAGUCCAACCUCCGCAGAGCCAGGCUGCACGCCAAGCUCGACCCCUCCGCCGUCCACGGCGUCACCAAAUUCUCCGAUCUAACUCCGGCCGAGUUCCGCCGCCAGUUCCUCGGC
RNAcentral lists this long non-coding RNA (495 nucleotides) under Glycine max (soybean). Its description in RNAcentral is "long non-coding RNA (GMAX_LNC004003)". The record is from RNAcentral. Lineage: Eukaryota; Viridiplantae; Streptophyta; Magnoliopsida; Fabales; Fabaceae.